UCUUGCCCAAACUUCACAUGUUUGAUAAGAGUCCUGGCCUGAACACAUCUGAAGGCCAAUAUUCCAUUGGCUGUGGCAAAAUGCCUCGAUAGCGCCACCUAUACAUUUUCAACGGAGUGCGCCUCGAGCUACGUUUCACGUACAUGUACAAAAAUCGGUACACACAUGUAACACACCAAUACCUACAAAAAAGUCUCUUGGUACAAAAUUCGAAUCCCAACAGGAAGUCAUUAUUUUGAAUUUUCUCUGCAAAAUUUGUGUCGUUUUUGCCAUUUUCAGGGGUUGUACUUUAACGAACUCCUCCUAGAGAUUUAUUCAGAUCAACACCAAACUUUGUCAGUGUAAUCUAAAGGACUUUGCGAUGUUAAAUUGCGAAGAUCUUGAGGUUUCGUUUAAGGGCGUGUCUGUGGCGGCUUUACAAAUUUCGAUGUUUCGCCAUGAGAAAGGAAGUUGCUAUAACUCAGACAUACAAUGUCCAAUCUGCCCCAAACUUCACAUG
Molecule: long non-coding RNA, 499 nt
Organism: Cyprinus carpio carpio
Lineage: Eukaryota; Metazoa; Chordata; Actinopteri; Cypriniformes; Cyprinidae
Source: Ensembl